UUCAAGAUGUGAUUUGACAUGGGGGCAGC
This 29-nucleotide non-coding RNA is filed under the name Mus musculus (house mouse). The record is from RNAcentral. Lineage: Eukaryota; Metazoa; Chordata; Mammalia; Rodentia; Muridae.